This 239-nucleotide unclassified non-coding RNA is filed under the name uncultured fungus. RNAcentral's name for it is "sequence contains ITS1, 5.8S rRNA gene". The stretch from base 191 to 239 matches the Rfam family "5.8S ribosomal RNA", at positions 1 to 49 of the family's 154-position model. The record is from RNAcentral. Lineage: Eukaryota; Fungi.
UCUCCGUUGGUGAACCAGCGGAGGGAUCAUUGCAGAGUUGAGAGACUCCCAAACCACCGCGAACAUACCACUACGUUGCCUCGGCGGGCGGCUCCAGGGCGGAGCCUCCGGCCCCCCGCGGGGGGGCGCCCGCCGACAGGCCCCAAACCAUGCCGUAACAACGCUACUCUGAGUACCCAAGACCUAUCAAAACUUUCAACAAUGGAUCUCUUGGCUCUGGCAUCGAUGAAGAACGCAGC